Long non-coding RNA from Paramormyrops kingsleyae, 6712 nucleotides. RefSeq lists it as uncharacterized. The record is from RefSeq and is a predicted model, not a curated record. Lineage: Eukaryota; Metazoa; Chordata; Actinopteri; Osteoglossiformes; Mormyridae.
UGGUUGGCCGAAACAAAAUCUUGGUCUGGAUUUUGACUUUCUGGACCUGAACUAUCCAGUAUGGUUAUAUAUCAGAGUAUUAAUGCACAUUUAAGCCUCAGCCAUUCCUAAAGAAUAUGGUGCCUUUGGGGUCCCAUGUGGGUUAUCAGUGGAAAUAUAAGCACUGUAAAUGUAAUAAGUGAAGGCUUACAGUCAUCGUGUCCCAUGAGGCAGAACAAGGCCCCUCCCAUACAGCUUGACAGGCGUCAUAAUUAAAGAGGCAUCUUCAGAGCACAAGCAAUUGGGUCAAACCACAUUUGUUACUCCAUUAAAUACGCAAAAUAAAGUUAACAUCUGCCAAAAAAUUCUUUAUUACUAUACUAUGUAAUAGCGCUCUGAUAACACGUUUCAAUAUGGCAGUGUUUCUCAACAUUAAGCAGGGGGUGACAGCAAGUAGAAAAUGCUACUUGAUCUCUCCGUCACUCAGCCAUUGUGCUGUUUUAAUGGAUAUUGGUAGAACGCUCCGUCACACUCUUUUUAUAGAAAUCCAAUUUCCCAGCAUUCAUGUAGAAAUGGAUUGAUUUCUGCAUUGUUAAUCCCCAGCACACUUGUCUGAGAUAUGGUAGUUCCACUUAUUUUGAUGAUAGAUUUAACAAAUGUCCUACAUUUUCUAUUCUGAUUCGUUCUUAUUAAUCUUUGAGCAAAUUGAAAAUAUAUUUAACUUACCUCAUUUUUCAUUCUUUAUCGACAAGACCACAAUAAGAAUGCGUCAGAAUGCCACGUUUGUUUCCGAAGAAAAUAUAUUCAUUAUGAAAAUAUUAUGUUCUAUUGGUGUUUGUUUUGAUGCAAUCUAGGAAUAAAAGCAAACGUCGUAAUUGACACAAACACACGACUUUUUGUUCCCUCUAAUGGUAGAGAUUUCCAGAAUAAAUGGUCAGCCAUUGUCGUCUUUUAAAGAGCUUUGAAAAUGGGAAUGUGGAAACAGAUAUUCAUUCCAUCACAGAUGAUUAGCUCAGCGUGGAUUUUACUUAAGAAAAUCACUUUUUUUACGCUGGGAAAACUGGAGAUGUGUAAAUCCCAGCCCUAUCAAUAACUAUGAAAAUGGAUGGGUGUUAACUCACAGGUAUAAUGUUUUCUAAGAUACAGAUGUCUAUCCUUACAAAUAUCCAUUGUCUUUACAAUCUAAGAGGACAUAAUUCUGUCCUUUUUUUAAAUAAUGAGCAGUAUAAACAUGCCAAGUUUUAUGCAUUUAUUUACAAUGCAGCACAAACAUUUUAAAAACACCAGCAGCACUGGUCACUCUAUCUUCAUUGUCAGAUCUAUAAAUUAACAUGUUUCCAUUCGGAGGUUUAAAUGGGGGGGGGGGGGGCUUAAAUAUUAAUGCCAUGCUGAUUAUUCGGUAUUCAACAGCAGCCUGGUUCAGAUGACCUUUCCUGGCCUUAAACCAGAAUUGAAUGGGAAGCAAUCCUCAUCUGAAGAUAGGCCGUGGGUUAGGGGUCACUGAGACUGCAUUUUUAAUAUCUCGUUAACGUAGCACGAGGUGAGAGUGGGGUGAGGUAAAGAUGCUGUGUCGAGCAGGUCCAGACUUGUCCGCAUCCGCACUCACUGGCUCACUAGCGACCACAGUUUACACCUUUGCUUUAAUUAAAACAGGCUCAUUUUCUCUGUUCCCUAUAAGGUUGGCUUGCCAGGGGAUGGGCAGCCAGCUGACCUUGGACCUGGUGACGUAUUUUCUCCUCCCUACUGGAGAGUUUUUCGUUUUCUCUCCUCCAUUGUCUUCUGGUUUUCUUUCUUCCUCUCUUCCAUCUUCCCUGACCCAGUAAUGUAUUGCCACCUACUCUUGUCAAGUGCCUUGGGAACGAGACUGUUGAAAAGUGAAUUGAAUUGAAUUGAUGCUCCGCAUCUCAUCCACUUUAGCUUCUCACUCUUGCACACGUGUGCACGUGCACUUACCAGCAUGCCACACAUGUGACUCGUGUGGCACUGCAUUAAAUCCAGAUGAAUAAACGAACAAAAACAUAAAAAUUGUUACAUGAAGUUAUCCAUGCAAGACAGUUAAUCUCACGUGGACCAGACACCUGGCAAGCUGAAAUGGGCAAUAACUGAGAACCGGACCAUUUGAAUUAUAGGAACAAAAGAGUGUGGUGACUUUGAGGAAUGAGCUCCUUCUGUUUUUUUUGCACUCGUGCUAUCUCACCUUUCAGAAAACACACACUCCGGAUGAGUGCAUGGGAUCUCUGGCCAUUAUUCUCAGUCUCAUCCUGGUGAGUCGUUUAUCACGCUCAUUCGCCCGCUUGGUGUCAUAAGGUGUCAACACAUGGACUGAACACUUAAAUGGAAGCUCCUUUCAUGAGCCUCUCUACUUGGAUGGCGGCAGCUAUGUCGGGCAUCUUUUGUGCCCUAAUUUGGUGCCCCGCUUCAUUUCUGUACCAUGCAACUUUUCAUGGGCUCCCAAGCAAAGAGACAGUAAGCAGCAGAUGAAUUACAGCCCAGUCCUUAAACACCGUACAGUCCCUAACUGAGUAUCAUUAAUAUAACUUGAAAAAUUCAAGAACAUAAGAAGAAGUGUGCCGAUAAAAGUAAAGCUGGAUGCACACCAGUCCGACGACAAAAAAUCGAAAAUCGGCUUGGUGUGGUCCAAGCUUAAAGAUCCAUUUUUGACCACUCUUAGUAUAACAAGAAGACACUGGAACAUUCCAGAAAAUACCAUAGAAGGUCACUGAUGUUAUGGACUAUGGACUCUGGAUUUCCCCUUCUUUUAGUUCUGUAUAAACACUUUGCUGAGGGUAGGUAGGUUCACUCAACGGCAGACAUUUCCUUCAAAACAGCCAUGACAUUUAAAAAGCCUUUGAAUAAGUUGGGGGGAUGGGGAGGGGGCAGAGGACCAUUUGACCCACAUCACAGAAACCGGGGAUGUAAUACCUUCCCCAUCCAUCCCAGAAGUCCCUCAGCAUGUUAAUGUCGCCUUCAUUUGAUGUGAAAUGGUAGCUUUGUUUUGGUGGGUGGCGCGGCUAAUUGAAAACUUAGCUUGCUAAUUAGCGGAUUAGCGGAACCCUGUCCACCGCCGCCUUGCAUUUCGUGGCUGUGAAUAUUGCCGCCUCCCAUUGCCUGGGCUUUUCGGCACCAUGAGGGAUUCUCGCUCUUUGAUGCAGAAGUGAGAACAGAGAGUUAAAGCACACAGAAGAGUGCCUUUAUAAGGGGGCCUGAACACAACAGCUAUGGAGCAUGCUGACCUCUAUAAAACCUCUAUAUGAUUUUCUAAUCAUCUACUUUGUUGUACUCUGCCAGCGAAGCCCGACUCUCAUAAUGUUCGUCAACCAACUGAACCCUUCAGGUGCAACCUGGCCAUCCCUAAGGUUGGAUCUCCGGAACAAUUGCAAAAAGACUCGGUUUGAUAAAUGCAGAUCAAAACAAGGAUAUUUUUUGCAGACUAAAACAGGCUAAUGAAUAAUGCAUCAGAUCAGUAAGUGAUAUGCACACAAAUGCCAUCCAUCUCAAAUCACUUGCAUAUUAAAGCAUGCAUGACUGUUGCAGAAGGCAGGGCCUAUCGCAAUGUGGAUUUGACAGGUGUAUGAAGCAGUCAUCGCAGUUAUUCAGCUCCUACAUUGGAAGUUUAAGAACCUCAUUUCCAUGUAAAUGACUAUUAAAUGGGAAGCAGGACACCACUAGUGCAUUCUGGGUCGGAUAUCCAGCCUGAAAGAUUCACAAGUUCCACCGUCCACAACAAACCAUACCAUGAACUUCCAUGCCCUUCCACGUGACCUGGGCGCACCUGAAACAUUUCAGACCUUCGAAACACACUUUUCCCCUAAAUCUCUAUUUCUAUUUUUGUCUUAUGGAGAUUUAAGCAGAACACCCCCCCCCCCCCCAACCACCACCUUUGAUCUAUUAAUACCGGAUGUGGUGAGGUGUCCGCAGCAUGUGCCAUGAUGAAAGCUGGAUCAAAGGCCAGUUGUAGUUAAUUGUGGGGAUUCUAAACGACAGGAUGCCCAUUGAUACUCCAAUGGGAUUUACAAUGAAAAUGAUAGGGACUCUGUAUUAUGAUUUGUAGGCCUAUUCCUCCAUUGUGUAAUGGUUCUAACUGAGCCUAGGCCAUACAUCUGCUCUUCUGCUAAUGAUCUACAGGAGAACCAAUGACACACAACUCACAGCUGGACAAAUAACCAUCAUCAUCAUUAUCAGUUUUUGCUCAGGGGGAGACUCCAGUUACAUGAUUAAAAUAUGCUGGUUAUUAAUAUUUUAAUUACCAUCCAGUCUAGUGCCUAAAAAUGGGGGCCUAUUACUCUUUUCUUGUGAAAAUGGCCACUAGCCGUCUGACCGUCAUUUUACAGAAGAAAAAUAAAACCUUAAUGACCUCAGAUUAGAUCCUGCUUUUGUUGCCCAAGAUGAGUUCUCUCACCAGAGGCUGACUUGCCCAGACCCUUCCCCGUAGGGCUGACUCAGGCCUUAGAAAUAUACCCUUGACCUGGACAGCUGAGAGUGAUUAGUCUGUAGGAGGUCCUCACUUAUCCAGCUCCAGGAUCAUCACUGGAUGGGCCAGCUGCCAUGAAGAACCAAUGACUUCUAUGAGAAUGCGGUUGGAGUCAAAAAAUCUGACAGCAAGUUAGUUUGAGAAUCACAGCAAUAAGAACAGAACCUGCCUCUUCCAUAAACCAUUUUGAGUUAUUCCUACUAUUCUUCCUUCUGCUCAAAACUAUUCCUGCUGUGAUGACUGGAUUUUUCUCAUCCAAUAUCGACCACCACCAAAACCACUACCACAAUAACCGUUCCCGACAAUAAGAAUAGACAUUAUGAUACUCAAAUUUCAAAAUCUGGCUUUAUAACUCAUUGUUAUACAAUGUUUUGUUCUCUGUUGACACAAAGAGCCUUGAAUUUAAAUAUCUGUCAGCAAAGGAAAAGAUUAAUCAUUGAUUUAGCUGUCAAAGACCAAUAGUCUGAACGCCGACCUUCUGCACCUUGCAGAAAAUAACCAUCUAUCUGAAUCCAGGAUGAUAAUGGAUUAUUGAACCCAAACAGAGCUGGCUGUCUCUUCUUUAAAUUAUAUUUCUAAUUUAACUCUUCUCUUCAACUUUACAUUAAUUCAUUGGCAUAUAUAGUUUCUAAACUAAAUAAUAAUCUUUGUUAUUAUGUUAGCAUGUGGGGAUAUUUGCAUAUAAUUUCUGUUUACUGAAUGGCAGAACUGUGGAAUUUGACACGGGGCACUUUCCUUAAAACCUGCUGUUUGUGGCAAAAAAAUAACAUCUCGCCUUAUCUCAUCUUCUGACUACUUUUCCUGGUGAGGGUCGCAGUGGCAGCAUGCUGAGUAGGUAAGACCGGACCUAUUUUUCCAAGUGAGUCAUCCAGGUGUCAUCCUCAUAAUGUCCAAACCACCUUAGCUGAUUCCUCUCUAUCUGCAGGAGCAGCGGCUCUUUUCUGACAUCUCUCUGGACAUCCAAACUCCUCACUCCAUCACAGAGAGCAAGUCUAGCAGCCCUGUGGAGAAAUGUCAUGACCUUGUUCUUACAGCUGAAGACCAUAGCUGAAACAACACGGAGAAGGAACCUGUGGCUUUUGGAGAUGUGCAGACCUCGCCUGGAGAUGUGCAGACCUCGCCUGGAGAUGUGCAGACCUCUCCUGAUCCUACUAGGAAGCUUCAUCUGCUGAAUGGUUCUGGCACUGUUUCGCUUGCUUCACUUGCUGAUGAACUGGGACUGGGAUGAACUGACCAGAUCCACGGCUCAUGGUUUUAUGGAUAGCGACGCAAAAAUCGAACAAAUGGAACAAAACAGAAUGUAAACAAACAGAACAGAGCUACAAAAUGCAAUGGCCAAAGAAACAAUAUAUUGUUAUAGUGAUUUUUCAGAUUCACGUUAUUGAUCCCAGAGGGAGGUUCCUAUGGAGAUCAAAGACGAAGAAACUGUCACAGCCUGAAGCAGUGAGACAGGAGAUAUGAGGCUUCAAAAUUCACGUUUUCACAUUUUGGUUCCUGCUUAUUUCCACUGGGUUAUAAUACCAGGUCAUCUUUCCCAUCACUGUCAGCCUCUGCCAUUAUUUGAAACUGUUGACUCUUCCAUCUUUCCUCAAAGAAAAUCCAGUCCUCCUUGAAUCUUUUGCCGAUUGUUGUCAACCAAAAACAGCAAACAGCAUUUCUUUCCCCCUCAUGCUACCCUGAUUUUCAGCCUGCCUGAAAAGAGCCCACACAUGAAGAUGUGAGGAGAACAUGUCACUUGGUAUCUUCCCUGCGGUGCCACGAACUCAACAGCGAUGGGCUGAAGUCAUCAGUUUGUGACACAUUAGCAAAAGCACGGGUGGGCCCUUCCAAACUCGCCAAAAAGCAUCGCAAAGUGCCUGCGACAGAGGGGUAACCCGGCAACCGCUUUGAUCUGUCACCGUGUUCCAUUUUGUGAUGUCAGCGCUUGACAGCGGCAGAUGGCUGCCUCCUCGCUGACACGGCCUGUCAGAACCAUCCCCUGAGAGCAUGAGCGCCAUCUGGCUGUGGGAGCGGCUCGUGACAGCUCGGCUGUUAUGGCUUGUAAAGCAGACACAUUGAUUGGGGCGAACUUGUACAACAGGCAGCGGCCUGCAAGAAGGCUCACACAGGUGGGGCUCACACAGAAGGAAGGGGAUAUGCGUAAUGUUAAUUGAUUAAACUUACCAGAGCUGUUAAUGUCUUGAUUACCUGUGCAGUCUUACUCUGAUUCUGUACCUCUAUUCUCUUCACCUGUAUGUGUAGCUCGUAAAUUAGAUAGAUGGG